AACACAUGCAAGUCGAGCGGUAACAGAAAAGAAGCUUGCUUCUUUUGCUGACGAGCGGCGGACGGGUGAGUAAUGCCUGGGAAUAUACCCUGAUGUGGGGGAUAACUAUUGGAAACGAUAGCUAAUACCGCAUAAUCUCUUGUCUUUUACGAGAUGGGAGCAAAGAGGGGGACCUUCGGGCCUCUCGCGUCAGGAUUAGCCCAGGUGGGAUUAGCUAGUUGGUGGGGUAAGAGCUCACCAAGGCGACGAUCUCUAGCUGGUCUGAGAGGAUGAUCAGCCACACUGGAACUGAGACACGGUCCAGACUCCUACGGGAGGCAGCAGUGGGGAAUAUUGCACAAUGGGCGAAAGCCUGAUGCAGCCAUGCCGCGUGUAUGAAGAAGGCCUUCGGGUUGUAAAGUACUUUCAGUUGUGAGGAAGGGUAUGUAGUUAAUAGCUGCAUAUCUUGACGUUAGCGACAGAAGAAGCACCGGCUAACUCCGUGCCAGCAGCCGCGGUAAUACGGAGGGUGCGAGCGUUAAUCGGAAUUACUGGGCGUAAAGCGCAUGCAGUGGUUCAUUAAGUCAGAUGUGAAAGCCCGGGGCUCAACCUC
RNAcentral lists this ribosomal RNA (592 nucleotides) under uncultured Photobacterium sp. RNAcentral's name for it is "bacterial SSU rRNA". It matches the Rfam family "Bacterial small subunit ribosomal RNA", at positions 50 to 616 of the family's 1533-position model. Lineage: Bacteria; Pseudomonadati; Pseudomonadota; Gammaproteobacteria; Vibrionales; Vibrionaceae. The record is from RNAcentral.